GACAGAGGGUGCGAACGUUGUUCGGAGUUACUGGGCGUAAAGCGCAUGUAGGCGGCAGCGCAAGUCGGGCGUGAAAUCCCACGGCUCAACCGUGGAAGUGCACUCGAAACUGCGCAGCUAGAGUCCUGGAGAGGAAGGUGGAAUGCUUGGUGUAGAGGUGAAAUUCGUAGAUAUCAAGCGGAACACCGGUGGCGAAGGCGGCCUUCUGGACAGUGACUGACGCUGAGAUGCGAAAGCGUGGGGAGCAAACAGG
This 253-nucleotide ribosomal RNA is filed under the name uncultured bacterium. Its description in RNAcentral is "partial 16S ribosomal RNA". It matches the Rfam family "Bacterial small subunit ribosomal RNA", at positions 524 to 776 of the family's 1533-position model. The record is from RNAcentral.